This 401-nucleotide ribosomal RNA is filed under the name uncultured bacterium. RNAcentral's name for it is "bacterial SSU rRNA". It matches the Rfam family "Bacterial small subunit ribosomal RNA", at positions 957 to 1354 of the family's 1533-position model. The record is from RNAcentral.
UAACGCGAAAGGACCUUACCUAAGCUUGACAUCCCAUUGACCUCUCCCUAAUCGGAGAUUUCCCUUCGGGGACAAUGGUGACAGGUGGUGCAUGGUUGUCGUCAGCUCGUGUCGUGAGAUGUUGGGUUAAGUCCCGCAACGAGCGCAACCCUUGCCUUUAGUUGCCAGCAUUAAGUUGGGCACUCUAGAGGGACUGCCGAGGAUAACUCGGAGGAAGGUGGGGAUGACGUCAAAUCAUCAUGCCCCUUAUGCUUAGGGCUACACACGUGCUACAAUGGGUGGUACAGAGGGUUGCCAAGCCGUGAGGUGGAGCUAAUCCCUUAAAGCCAUUCUCAGUUCGGAUUGUAGGCUGAAACUCGCUUACAUGAAGCUGGAGUUACCUAGUGGUCGCGUGCUCAUUA